This 510-nucleotide long non-coding RNA is filed under the name Spirodela polyrhiza (greater duckweed). Its description in RNAcentral is "long non-coding RNA (SPOL_LNC001733)". Lineage: Eukaryota; Viridiplantae; Streptophyta; Magnoliopsida; Alismatales; Araceae. The record is from RNAcentral.
GAGGUAUGCGAUCUCUCAUCCUUGGUGCUGUGGGAUAAGAUGCAAACUCAAUCUCUCAUUUCAUUCAUAUUUCUGGGCCUGCUUAUCUUUUAUAAUCUCCAUAAGGACUCAUCUGUUCCAGGGAGAUCUGACCGCUGGAUAUUCCUCAAACUGUGGCUGCAUUAAUUCUCUGAAAUCUUUCCAUUUUAGCUCAUUCCAGCCGUUUUUCUUCCAGAUGAUGGUAGUUAAUUCCCCCUGAAAAUCUUAAAGAUGGUGUAAAAAAAUGAGAGUUUCAUGGUUUAAUCUACGAAUAAGUACUUCUAAUAAAGUGCAAUCCCAUCACCUUGCCUUCCAAAUAUAUCGUUUAUUUCCCACUGGCCCACUUGAAAAUCUUGAAGAAUGUUUGAAACCAUCAGUUUCUCUUCCCAAUGAUCGUUGAAUUCCACCGACCCAGUUGACAAAUGUGUCAGAAGUCAAAAACCAGUUGACAUCAGCAUCAUCAUCGUGCAUUGGGUGCUAUUUACGUCCAGG